GACGUAGGGCGCGAGCAUUGUCCGGAUUUAUUGGGCGUAAAGAGCUCGUAGGUGGUUUGUCGCGUUGUCCGUGAAAACUCACAACUCAAUUGUGGGCGUGCGGGCGAUACGGGCAGACUGGAGUACUGCAGGGGAGACUGGAAUUCCUGGUGUAGCGGCGGAAUGCGCAGAUAUCAGGAGGAACACCGGUGGCGAAGGCGGGUCUCUGGGCAGUAACUGACGCUGAGGAGCGAAAGCGUGGGGAGCGAACAGG
This 253-nucleotide ribosomal RNA is filed under the name uncultured bacterium. RNAcentral's name for it is "partial 16S ribosomal RNA". It matches the Rfam family "Bacterial small subunit ribosomal RNA", at positions 524 to 776 of the family's 1533-position model. The record is from RNAcentral.